Non-coding RNA from Obelidium mucronatum, 72 nucleotides. The record is from the annotation of a GenBank genome assembly. Lineage: Eukaryota; Fungi; Chytridiomycota; Chytridiomycetes; Chytridiales; Chytriomycetaceae.
GCACUGGUAGCUCAGUGGUAGAGCGUAGGACUGCAAAUCCCGAGGUCAUGGGAUCAACCCCCAUCCGGUGCU